Scophthalmus maximus (turbot) is the source of this 897-nucleotide long non-coding RNA. RefSeq lists it as uncharacterized. The transcript has 3 exons. The record is from RefSeq and is a predicted model, not a curated record. NCBI's taxonomy places the organism in Eukaryota, Metazoa, Chordata, Actinopteri, Pleuronectiformes, Scophthalmidae.
UACGACCGAGUUGAUUUAAAGGCUUCCACGAUCUGAACCCAGAAAAAAAAACCUCUGGCCAGGGUCUGCAGAGGAGGAAAUAAAAACAGACCACGGAGGAGGAGGGGGAAAAAAAAGACAAACCGCUUCGGCGAGAAGAAAAAUCUUGAUUCGGCAAAAGCAAAGCGGCGGUUGCGUUAUUCCCUCUGUGCGUGAAUGGCAGAGCGUCUUACACGGCUCCCUCCCCGCUCAGCAUCCUCCACCUCCUCCUCAUCUUCAUCAUCGUCAUCAUCAUCAUCAUCACUCCCAACACGUGCACAGUAACAAUCGCCUCGCUGAUUCCUCGCCAGUUCGCGAUUCGCGAUUCAGUCGCAGCCGCCGCCGUCGUCGUCCCGUGUCUCCCACCGCCACGGCACCAACAGCUGCAUCACAGAGGAGCCGGCGCCGUCACAUCGCCGCCGCGGUCCCGGUGCGCCUCCGCUCGCCCGCUCGCUCGCAUCCCUUUCCUUCCCCUCUCCUCCAGUCAAGCCUUCGCACAACAAUGCAGGGAUUCUGUCCUGUCUCUUGUUUUUUUCCUGUCCGUCUUCCCUGGAAGUCUCUCUCCUGCAUCUUGCUGCACUCUGCCUAGACAUCUUCACCUUACUGCACACCUUCCUGUAUGAAGACAUCUCACUCCAUGCAGACUGGCUUUUACUUUGGCCAAAGCUACGUGGUGUGCCAACCAACUCAUGGGGAGCUGGCCGGGAAUUCGAAUACACUCUGGGGUCCCAUUGACAGGUCUCUUUAGUUAUCGUUGGGCAAGCAGGACACAGACGGAGCAAGAGGCACUUGACCCGGAUGAUUCAAGUCAGUUUCAAGCCCACACCCAGAACCUGCUUCCAAGCAACUGGCACUAGUCCAGAGCAUGACAUCAUAGAA